This 6746-nucleotide long non-coding RNA is filed under the name Cinara cedri. The record is from RNAcentral. Lineage: Eukaryota; Metazoa; Arthropoda; Insecta; Hemiptera; Aphididae.
ACUAUACGGACGUCACAGCGAUAUCGCGCGUGUUGUGCAACACAAUACACAAUCCAGUUGUGAACAUGCACAAUUGCACGACAUGUUUUUUUUUGCCUCCCGCGUUCUUUAUGCGUACGUUAAAUAGCGUUUUCAUCUUGUUCGUGGUAACGUUCACCGUCGUGGUUUACUGCUCUAUUAUAAGUAAAUAUACAAUCACAAUACAAAUAUAAAAUAUUCUAUAUUAUACCUGUACCUGUACAUAAUAUUAUUAUUGUUAUAUCUGUUUUCAUCGCAUUCGUGGGUACGUACAGAUCCGUAACGAGAUUUCUCAACGCUUCUGGCCCAGGGCUGCUAAAUACCUGGGCUUUAUUGAAAAAAAAUCUACCCAGUCGGGUUUCGUCGGAUUUUUUUCUUCAAUAAAUGUCCAAAAACCCUCUCCACUCCUUUAUCCAGAAAAAAACUCCGUCGGUUUUAUCGUCAAUUUAAAAGGAGUCAUAUUGCCGCCUUAACGUUUCAUUCGUUAUAUUCCUAACUUUGCGUCUAACUCGGCUUCGGUAUAGAGCGAAUUUUUCCGACGUCCGGUCUCAUACAAAAUAAUCUACAAUAUUUGAUGAGUCAUGAAAAGGCAGUCGAAACAGUUAAAAUGCAUAGAUUAUAUUAUAUACAUACCUAAACAUCUCAGUCAAAACUUGAAAAUUGUUUUUAAACUGUUAAGGAACAUUGCAAUGUAACAAAUAUUUACUUAAAUCAGAGUUGAGCUUUUGAACAGCCAAAUUCGUUUAAGUUAAUCGAGUGGUUCCAACCCUAACCUAUCUAUUUGAGAUUUAACCGUUCUGUGAUCUUUGUUUAGAUUAUUUCUUAGCUGUUUACAUUUUAGACAUUUUACAAAAAGUUUAAUAAACUUGUUUUAUUUUUUUAUUUUAUAAUAAAUGACGUGUUGAGUAUGUUCUUAUUACUAUAAUUUAAUUAAUUAAUUUGUUUAUUCAAUGGUAAUACGUGUUGUAUUGUAAAUUGCAAUACAAUACAACGAUUUUAUUUUGUUAUUAUCGUAAUUGCAAAGUUGUCUUGGUACUUAUACUUGUAAACAAUAAUAAAUAAAUUGGCUUUCUAAUAAAAGCGAAAUUAGAAAAAAAGAAUUCUGAAAAAAAGCCCGAGGAUUUCAUUAAAUAAAUAUAAAGUGAGUUUAACCCAGACAAGUAGCCCGGAUUGUUUCGGAUUGGACUUUUUCGUGCCAACCCUCUGGCCGCACGAAAAGUGUCAUGGCUUUUAUUAUUGCUUUCCUCCCUACUUAUUUUUAUUUCUAUGAAAAUUUUAUGUUUCUAAAUUAUAUAUUCUAGAUUUUACGCCCGUUCUGAGAUGGUCCGAGCUAAUCUUGGUGAGUUCUAGUUACGGCUAUAAGUAUACACUUACGUCGUGAUUUUAUAAGUUUGACAGUAUUCUUCACAAUUUGUUCGUUCAGUCGACAUUUUAUAGAAAAUCCGAAACGUACCGUGUUACAUAUCUGACGAUAAAAUAUUCGAGCAGCAACAAUAAUAAUAUUAUAUAUAUAUACAGAAUGUCCCACGAUGGAACAGACCCAUCUCGUGAUCUCCUGAAUUCAUGAAGAUAUUUUCAAUAUGACUCGCUGAAAUAAAUAUUACAAAUAUUCAAUUAAGUUUUUAUGUUUUCGUAAAUGAUUUUAAAAAAAUAAUUUUUAUUUUUGAAACAUUUAACGAUAGCCAUUUUAUAAGGUUUGUUAUUCUUAAAAUACAUAGCAUUUAAAUUUCAUUAUUUACAUGACCCUGAUUUGAUUUUUUUUUUUUAAUUUUUCUUCACAAAAAAAUAGUUCUUAGAUAUUUUGAUAUUAUCAUAAAAGUUAUUAUUAAACAAAAUCUAUCAAAAACGAGAUGAGAUAAUUUCGAAACAAUAAAAACUUAAAACAUCAAUAUUUUAUCUGUACAUUUUUCGAAAAUUAUGAAAUAAUGUUAUUUUUUCGUUAUAUUUAACAAAAUUCACAAAAAUUUAAAGUUUUUAUUCUUGUGAUAAAAACAAAAUUUGAACAUAUUUAUUAUCUCAGGAGAUAUCGCAUUGGGUAUACCUUCACGCCCUGAAUACAAUAUAUCGACUACACGCGUAGGUUAUACAAUAUACAGGUAUAACCUUCCUACCUGAACGUGUAAAUAUUUCAGAAUUAAUUCAAACCCAGUUGUCGACGUUUUAGUUGCGAAUCCAAAGAAAGGCGAGUAAUUCUUAUACGCGUUUUAUGUUCUUCUGUAAAAAAAUAACGUACAAGUUAAAUAAUAACGUUACUAAAAAUAUGUAUACACGUACUCUCGGUUUUAUAAAAAAAAAAAAUACGAGUACAUUAUUCAUAGGACUAUUUUUUUUAAUUUGUAUUUUCUAUAGAAAUGCAAUGUUCUUCUAUACCAGUGAUUUUCAAAUUGUGCUUUGUAGAAUCCUAUGGUUUCAUGAAAUUAUAUUAGGAACCCAUACAAACUCUUACUAAUGAAAUUUAUUUAUUUGAUAGUCGUUUUCACAAAACUAACCGAAGGGAGCUACAAAUUAAAAUUACCAUAAAUUUUUAAACAAAAAAAUAAUGUAACAAAGCUACAUCUUUGAGAAAAAAAAAAUCGAAUUUUAAUUGAGUCCGUUUCUUAAAGUAAAAUUGACUGUUUUUCUCUAUUAAAAGAAUAUUUAAAAUCAAUUUAGGAAAUAUUGAUGAAUUUGACGAAGUAAAAAACGAAAUUACCAUUCCUGGUUUUCGGUGCUCCGUACAUUUUUUUUAACUACAUAAAAGUUGCGUGAACAAAAAAAGAUUGAAAAACAUUGUUCUACACCAAUGACGUAUGAAUUCGUUCGUACGAUUCCAAUUCUACAAUAAUAGUAUAGGUAACUUAUACAAUUAUAAUUAAUCAACGGUUUUUUUAGUUAAAAAAGUAUUCCGACAGUUUAAUUUGUUAUAGUUAAAAUGUCUUUACAUAAUAUAUUAUACCACAAUCAUAAAAUCAUAAAUUAAAAACAAAAAUCCAUUAAAACGGUGUACUUAAUUGUAUGUAAAAAUAAUAGUCGAAUGGAGAAAUGCUUAUGGGCUUUAUCGGAUUUUGAGAUGCGUGUUGUUUCGAAAUGCGUGGCGUUAGUAUCAGAAAUAUGCCUUUUAGAGGAUUUAACUUUGGAACAUUGCCAUAAUCAUUUUAAUGACCGGAUUUCUCCAUUAUUUUUUUAUAUUUCUAAAUAACUUGUAUGUUUGAGUAGGUAUAGGCUAUACCGUAUGGCAAAAAUGACUGUUCUAUAAUUAUAGGAUUCGGUUAUUUAUUGAUUUACAGAGAACAUUUCUAUAUCUAGUGCAUACCGGAUGGUGUGAAAUUCGACUCUACUGACGGAACUCUUUUAACGUGUCACUAACAUAUUCUAACAUUUUAAUAAUGUUAAUUUGUACAUUUUAUUUGCACUGUAUUUUUGACUACGCCCGUUUUGUGUAUCUGAUAUCAGUAGUGUACAGUCACAAACAAUAAACCUAUAUAACAUGUCUACCUAUAUGUGACUUGUGAAUAACGCUCGACUAUUUUAAUUAUAUAUAUAGUUUGCUUUACUUUAUCUAUUGCGUUGCGUUCCUAUCGGCAACAUGGAAUAAUAUGAGUUUAAUUAUUUACCAUUUAAUUUAAAGAAAUUUGCAUUAUUCCCGAUAAGGUCGUUAAUGAAUAAGUAUUACGAACAAAGGCCAUUUGAUUUAGGUCUUGGGGGUGUAUUAAUUUAUUUUAAAACGGUUAUUCUUUAUGGCCGUGCAAGAAUACUCGAAAAAUAAUUUAAAAUAGCGUAUAAUACAUACAGGGUUAAUUAAGUAUUUUAAAAUAUGCAAAUGGGGAAUCCAGGGUUAUGCAAAGAAUCUUGUUGUUUUUUUGAUAAAAACAAAAAAAAAAAAAAAAAAAAAAUAAAAAUGAAAUGUUUCUCGAGAAAAAUGUAAAAAAUAUCAAAGCUGAACAAGUUAGUAAAUAAUAUAGACUUACCUCUGUUAAGGUAAUUGAAAAAAUGUUAAUGAGUUAAAAGCGUAAUUAUUAAUUAAUCGAAUCGGGUUAAAAGUCGGCUUAAAAAUUGAAUCGACUUAUUAUCUAAAGUUAUUUUGUUAGAGUUUUUAUUUGUUUUGUCGAUUUGUUUGGAUAAACAUAAAACAUUGUCAUUUUUUGAAAACAAGAAUCAUCAGUAAUGCAUCUAUUAAUGUUGAACAUACGACGAAAUCAAUUAAUGUCAAUAAUUAUACUCAUCGUACUAUACGUACAUUAUUAAGUAAACAAAAACAUGUUUAUACGAGUAUAAUACUACGUACACACUGAAUAUAAAAUUGUAUUAGGCAAUGUAUAGAUUUUAAAAGCAAUUCUUGUUGAAAUCGACUUAACGUGUUAUAAUUCGAAAUAACCUCGGUUAUACACUCAUUGAGUUGAUAUAAAUUAAAAUAAAAUAGUAAUUCAAUUACAAUUACAAAUAGUAAGACAACUUUUGAAAAUAUUUACACAAAUUCUAUAAACUAUAGGUAUAAAAAUCGAUAAUUAUUUUUAUUUUGUUCUAAUGUGAUCGAAAAUAUUAUUGAAAUUAAUUGCAUUAUUUGUUUGUCCUGACUGUUUUUUAUAAAUAUAAAUGGGCGGCACCAAAAACUCAGAUUCGAUACUCGAUACCUAUACUCGAUUCUCGAUAGGUUUGUAUCAAAAUAGAAACAUCAUAAGGUAUAUUAAUUAUGAACAUUAUUAACCAUUACACAAAAAUUAUCUAAAGUUUCGAUAGAUGUCCGUCAUUCACGCCGCCAUUGCGCAUCGUCCGUCCCUAGUGUUAACAUUGACGAGCAACAAGGAUAAACGAGAAUUUUUAUUUUUUUUUUCGCUCCGUACACGCAGAUAUGCCUACCAUCAUCAAAACCGAGACUUACGAAGUGGACGCCACCGCGGACGACAGCAUCAGCCGUCACAAUAACCAGAAGAUUUCAGAUAAUAUAUCCGGCGAUAUAAUAACAGGACACCGCGAAUACCGGCCGAUAGAUCAGUCGGACGAUAUCAAUAAUUCGGACGAAUAUUAAAACAUAUAUAAAAAUAUAUAUAUAUUAUUUUAUUGUGAUGAUAUAUGUUUUUUAAAAAAAAAAAAAAAAAAAAUUAAAAACAACAACAACAACGGUUGGAUACAAUGCGAUAUACAAUACGCGUAAUUAGCGGAACACGUUGUUUUUUAUUAUUAUUAUUAUAAAGUAUAUGGCAAUUUUUUUAUUAUUAUUUUUUUUUUUUUUGUAAUAAUAACGUAAUAAGAUGGUGUGCGUGUGUAUUACGUAGGGCAACUAUUAUUAUAUUAUUAUAUAUUAUGUACGUAGGUAUAUAGGUGGCACGCAUUUUUCUCAUUACCUAGCCGCGCUGCACACAUUACUCGACCAUCAAAACGGCUUAACGGAUUGUUGAAAAACCCUUUUCUUUCGCUAUAUAGCAGCCUGUAAUUUACACACAAACGCGGCCGUUAAAACGAAAAAAGAAAAAGCGUCCACGCCAUGAUACUAUACCUAUAAUAUAACCUACCUGUAUUAUGUAAGAGCUGACGAUAAAAAAAAAAAAAAUAAUAAUAAAUAUUUAAACCCACACACCCCGACUACAACCCGAUGUCAUGGAAAAAUUGUUUAAUAUUUUAUUAUUAAUAAUCCCUCACAGAGAGUUCAUUAAACGUCACUACAAACUAUAUUAUAGCGAUUUAACGAUAAAAAAUGUAUAAAAUAAAAAAGUUAGUAGGUAUAUAUUAUUAUUAUUAUACAAGGUGGAAUGGUAUUACAAAGGUGCAGGUUAUUGCGAAGUAAAUUCGCCCACUUAUCAGGUGUAGAUAAUAUUGUUUUAUUAUUUCGGAACGUGUUUGUAAUAAAUGUUUAAAAUGUUGUGACUUGUAUUUAAAAUUUGUAAAAUUUCACAAAAAUGUUAAAUACCUUGGUGAUUUUAAUAAAUAUGUAAUAUUAUUUUAUUAUUAUCAUCCGGACUUGUCGUUUCACAAUCAUUAAGUGUUUAGACAUAGUAUGUUAAUUUUACUAAUUGUUUGAAGACGGACAACAAUACCACCUUCAUAAUAUUAAUAAGUGAGAGUAAUAAGCAUUUAUUAUUAUUAUAAACAUUUUAGCAUUUCAAUAGGUAUUUAAAAGUAUUUAAUGGCGUUUUAAAACCACGUUAGUUUAAUAGUAACAAUGUAUUAGAUUUUUUUCAGCACUCGUCAUCACAGUUUAGAUUCGAGAACGUUAUUUUAAUAAGAAGCGGGAUGUGUAUUGGUUUUACUAAAAUGUACACGAAUUUUCUGUCUGUGAACAAUUUUCCUAUCAGAAAUAUUGCUCCGAACAAAAUAUGCGGUAAUAUUUCUUUUUGUUUUUUGAAUUUUUGAUUUAGUUGGUUCGUUGGGUGAUCAUUUUUAGAUUUUCAAAGCGGUUUUCUUAAUAAUCGGAAAAAACCGAGAAAAAAUAACGUAUAUAAAAAAAAAAAAAAAAAAAAAACGUAAAAAAUCAAUAAUAUAAUGCACGACUGUACAUUUAUUUGCAUUUGUACACUGUUGAUUUCAGCUAAAUUUUCGUAAAAUCAGUAAAAAUGGAUUGGAGAAUUGUUGCUACUGGGAAACCAAAUAGGAUUACUUCGAUAUAUUUUCCAUUUUACGCUGGCAAUUUUUCGUUUAAAUUAAAUUAUUAAGAUUAAAUUUUAAAAAAAAAUGUACAUUAAUAAUUUCAUUAACAUCUGUUAAAUCUGUAAUCAAAAGAUAUCAUAAUAGACAAGUUUAUAAGUUAAUACCGU